RNAcentral lists this ribosomal RNA (442 nucleotides) under uncultured bacterium. Its description in RNAcentral is "partial 16S ribosomal RNA". It matches the Rfam family "Bacterial small subunit ribosomal RNA", at positions 338 to 795 of the family's 1533-position model. The record is from RNAcentral.
CCUACGGGGGGCUGCAGUGGGGAAUAUUGGGCAAUGGGCGCAAGCCUGACCCAGCAACGCCGCGUGAAGGAAGAAGGCUUUCGGGUUGUAAACUUCUUUUCUCAGGGACGAAGAAAGUGACGGUACCUGAGGAAUAAGCCACGCCUAACUACGUGCAAGCAGCCGCGGUAAUCCGUAGGUGGCAAUCGUUCUCCGGUUUGAUUGGGUGUAAGGGGCGUGUAGGCGGGAGAGCAAUUCAGAUGUGAAAACUCAGGGCUCAACCCUGAGCGUGCUUUUGAAACUGUGUUUUUUGGGUGCUGGAGAGGCAAUGGGAAUUCGGUGUGUGGCGGUGAAAUGCGUAGAUAUACGGAGGAAAACCAGUGGCAAAGGCGGAUUGCUGGACAGUAACUGACGCUGGGGCGCGAAAGCGUGGGAGCAAACAGGAUUAGAUACCCGAGUAGUC